AGCAGCCGCGGUAAUUCCAGCUCCAAUAGCGUAUAUUAAAGUUGUUGCAGUUAAAAAGCUCGUAGUUGAAUUUCGGGGUUAGUAGGUUGGUCAUGCCACAGGUAUGUACUGAUCUUACUGAUUCCUCCUUCCUGAUGAACCGUAAUGCCAUUAAUUUGGUGUUGCGGGGAGACUGGACUGUUACUUUAGAAAAAAUUAGAGUGUUUAAAGCAGGCUAACGCUUGAAUACAUUAGCAUGGAAUAAUAGAAAUAGGACGUUCGAUCCUAUUUUGUUGGUUUCUAGGAUUGACGUAAUGAUUAAUAGGGAUAGUUGGGGGCAGUUAGUAUUCAAUUGUCAGAGGUGAAAUUCUUGGAUUUAUUGAAGACUAACUACUGCGAAAGCAUUUGCCAAGGAUGUUUUCAUUAAUCAAAGAACGAAAGUUAGGGGAUCGAAGACGAUCAGAUACCGUCGUAGUCUUAAACCAUAAACUAUGCCGACUAGGGAUCGGAUGAUGUUAAUUUUUAAUGACUCAUUCGGCGU
This 520-nucleotide ribosomal RNA is filed under the name uncultured Glomus. RNAcentral describes it as "SSU rRNA". It matches the Rfam family "Eukaryotic small subunit ribosomal RNA", at positions 569 to 1086 of the family's 1831-position model. Lineage: Eukaryota; Fungi; Glomeromycota; Glomeromycetes; Glomerales; Glomeraceae. The record is from RNAcentral.